RNAcentral lists this ribosomal RNA (253 nucleotides) under uncultured bacterium. Its description in RNAcentral is "partial 16S ribosomal RNA". It matches the Rfam family "Bacterial small subunit ribosomal RNA", at positions 524 to 776 of the family's 1533-position model. The record is from RNAcentral.
UACGUAGGGUGCGAGCGUUAAUCGGAAUUACUGGGCGUAAAGCGUGCGUAGGCGGUUCGUUAAGUUCGUCGUGAAAGCCCCGGGCUCAACCUGGGAACUGCGAUGGAAACUGGCGGGCUUGAGUGUGGCAGGGGGGGGUGGAAUUUCGCGUGUAGCAGUGAAAUGCGUAGAGAUGUGGAGGAACACCGAUGGCGAAGGCAGACCCCUGGGUCAAGAUUGACGCUCAUGCACGAAAGCGUGGGGAGCAAACAGG